This 1449-nucleotide ribosomal RNA is filed under the name uncultured bacterium. RNAcentral's name for it is "bacterial SSU rRNA". It matches the Rfam family "Bacterial small subunit ribosomal RNA". The record is from RNAcentral.
GACGAACGCUGGCGGUAUGCUUAACACAUGCAAGUCGAACGAGAAGACUAUGAUUAAGCCUUCGGGUGAGAGAUUAAUUGGAAAGUGGCGAACGGGUGAGUAACGCGUGGGUAACCUGCCCUAUGGAAAGGAAUAGCCUCGGGAAACUGGGAGUAAUGCCUUAUAAUGUAUGAGAAUCGCAUGGUUUUCAUAUCAAACGCUCCGGUGCCAUAGGAUGGACCCGCGUCCCAUUAGCUAGUUGGUAAGGCAGCGGCUUACCAAGGCAACGAUGCGUAGCCGACCUGAGAGGGUGAACGGCCACAUUGGAACUGAGAGACGGUCCAGACUCCUACGGGAGGCAGCAGUGGGGAAUAUUGCACAAUGGGCGAAAGCCUGAUGCAGCAACGCCGCGUGAGUGAAGAAGGUUUUCGGAUUGUAAAGCUCUGUCAUCUGGGACGAUAAUGACGGUACCAGAUGAGGAAGCCACGGCUAACUACGUGCCAGCAGCCGCGGUAAUACGUAGGUGGCAAGCGUUGUCCGGAAUUACUGGGCGUAAAGGGUGCGCAGGCGGACAUUUAAGUGAGAUGUGAAAGACCCGGGCUUAACUUGGGCAGUGCAUUUCAAACUGGAUGUCUGGAGUGCAGGAGAGGAGAACGGAAUUCCUAGUGUAGCGGUGAAAUGCGUAGAGAUUAGGAAGAACACCAGUGGCGAAGGCGGUUCUCUGGACUGUAACUGACGCUGAGGCACGAAAGCGUGGGUAGCAAACAGGAUUAGAUACCCUGGUAGUCCACGCCGUAAACGAUGAGUACUAGGUGUAGGAGGUAUCGACCCCUUCUGUGCCGCAGUAAACACAAUAAGUACUCCGCCUGGGAAGUACGAUCGCAAGAUUAAAACUCAAAGGAAUUGACGGGGGCCCGCACAAGCAGCGGAGCAUGUGGUUUAAUUCGAAGCAACGCGAAGAACCUUACCUGGACUUGACAUCCCCUGCAUAUCUUAGAGAUAAGAGAAGCCCUUCGGGGCAGGGAGACAGGUGGUGCAUGGUUGUCGUCAGCUCGUGUCGUGAGAUGUUAGGUUAAGUCCUGCAACGAGCGCAACCCCUAUUGUUAGUUGCUAGCAGUAAGAUGAGCACUCUAACGAGACAGCCGCGGUUAACGCGGAGGAAGGUGGGGAUGACGUCAAAUCAUCAUGCCCCUUAUGUCCAGGGCAACACACGUGCUACAAUGGGCAGAACAGAGAGAAGCAAGACCGCGAGGUGGAGCGAACCUUGAAAACUGCUCCCAGUUCGGAUUGCAGGCUGAAACCCGCCUGCAUGAAGCUGGAGUUGCUAGUAAUCGCGAAUCAGCAUGUCGCGGUGAAUACGUUCCCGGGCCUUGUACACACCGCCCGUCACACCAUGAGAGCUGGCAACACCCGAAGUCCGUAGUCUAACGAAAGAGGACGCGGCCGAAGGUGGGGUUAGUGAUUGGGGUG